GCCACGUAGGAUUAGCCAGUAUCGGCAAAAUGUCACUGGCACGUUGCGCGGUGGCGGUGGGUCGCGGGCCGCGGCUCCUGUCAUUCGUAGCCCAGCUGCUCGCACCGGGGGUCGGAGUUGCGACUCUGCGCCGCGUCAGUGCGUCCGUUCCCGCUCAGUUCUGCAGCGCCGCGGCCCCGUGCGCGCUCCCCAACAUGUUCACCGCCGAGGAGCGCGGCUCCGCGUACGCGCCCGACUACCGGGUCUUCUUCCGUGAUGAAAGCGGCCCCAUCUCCCCGCUGCACGACAUCCCACUGUGGGCCAACAAGGCCGAACGCCUCGUCAACAUGGUUGUGGAGGUCCCGCGCUGGAGCAACGCCAAGAUGGAGUUGUCGCUGGGCGAGGCGCUCAACCCCAUCAAGCAGGACGUGAAGAAGGGCGCGCUGCGCUUCGUGGCCAACGUGUUCCCGCACCACGGCUACAUCUGGAACUACGGAGCCCUACCGCAGACGUGGGAGAACCCGUCGCACGUGGACCCCGCGACGCAGGCGCGCGGAGACAACGACCCCAUCGACGUGAUCGAGAUCGGCACCCGCGUGGCGGGUCGCGGCGACGUCGUGCCCGUCAAGAUCCUCGGCACGCUGGCGCUCAUCGACGAGGGCGAGACCGACUGGAAGCUGAUCGCUAUCGACUCCCGGGACCCGCUGGCCGCGUCCCUGCGCGACGCGGGCGACGUGGAGCGGGCGUUCCCCGGGCUGCUGAAGGCCACGGUGGAGUGGUUCCGCCUGUACAAGGUGCCCGACGGCAAGCCGCAGAACCGGUUCGCCUUCGACGCCGAGCCCAAGGACGGGGAGUUCGCCUACAAGCUCAUCGACGAGGUGCACGAGUUCUGGCGCGAGCUGGUGGCCGGCCACGUGGGCGACGCCACCGACAUCAACAAAAUGAACGUGUCAGUUGCGGGAAGCCCGGGGCAGGUGGAGCGGUCGGAGGCGGCCGCCGUGCUGGCCAAGGCGCCGCCACGUUCCCUGCCGCAGUCCGUCCCGCCCGGCGUGGACAAGUGGCACUUCCUCGCCAACCUGUAGCAGCCUGUGGGAUCCUGUUGGAGCCUGUGGGAGCCUGUAGACUCCCGUCGGAGCCUGUAGACUCCCCUCGUAUGUUACGGAGCCGCGAGAGUCCGGUGACGGGACCGUCGAGUUGUGAUUAUCUUAUUGUUUAAGUGCAAAUGGUAGGGUGUUGUUAAUGCGUAUUUAUUAUAAUUAAUCAAAAUAUUUUG
Molecule: RNA transcript, 1252 nt
Organism: Cydia amplana
Lineage: Eukaryota; Metazoa; Arthropoda; Insecta; Lepidoptera; Tortricidae
Gene: Nurf-38
Exons: 9
Source: RefSeq, a predicted model, not a curated record